Molecule: ribosomal RNA, 429 nt
Filed under: uncultured bacterium
Lineage: Bacteria
Description: bacterial SSU rRNA
Rfam family: Bacterial small subunit ribosomal RNA
Source: RNAcentral
UGGGGAAUAUUGCACAAUGGGCGCAAGCCUGAUGCAGCGACGCCGCGUGGAGGAAGAAGGUUUUCGGAUUGUAAACUCCUGUUAAGUGGGAAGAAAGAACGGACCCUAAUAUGGUCUGGAGAUGACGGUACCACUAGAGAAAGCACCGGCAAACUUCGUGCCAGCAGCCGCGGUAAUACGAAGGGUGCAAGCGUUAUUCGGAGUUACUGGGCGUAAAGAGCGCGUAGGCGGUUUAUUAAGUCAUUUGUUAAAGAUCCCGGCUUAACCGGGAAAAGGCAGGUGAGACUGGUAGACUAGAGUGUAAGAGAGAGAAGCGGAAUUCUCGGAGUAGCGGUAAAAUGCGUAGAUCUCGAGAGGAACACCGGAAGCGAAGGCGGCUUCUUGGCUUACAACUGACGCUCAAGUGCGAAAGCGUGGGGAGCAAACAGG